This 456-nucleotide ribosomal RNA is filed under the name uncultured bacterium. RNAcentral describes it as "bacterial SSU rRNA". It matches the Rfam family "Bacterial small subunit ribosomal RNA", at positions 340 to 786 of the family's 1533-position model. The record is from RNAcentral.
UACGGAAGGCAGCAGCGGGGAAUAUUGCACAAUGGGCGAAAGCCUGAUGCAGCUAUGCCGCGUGUAUGAAGAAGGCCUUAGGGUUGUAAAGUACUUUCAUCGGGGAGGAAAAACAAAACUAAUAAUUUUAUUUCUUGACGUUACCCGAAAAAGAAGCACCGGCUAACUCCGUGCCAGCAGCCGCGGUAAUACGGAGGGUGCUAGCGUUAAUCAGAAUUACUGGGCGUAAAGAGCACGUAGGUGGUUUUUUUAAGUCAGAUGUGAAAUCCCUGGGCUUAACCUAGGAACUGCAUUUUGAAACUGAAAUACUAGAGUAUCGUAGAGGGAGGUAGAAUUCUAGGUGUAGCGGUGAAAUGCGUAGAUAUCUGGAGGAAUACCUGUGGCGAAAGCGGCCUCCUAAACGAAUACUGACACUGAGGGUGCGAAAGCGUGGGGAGCAAACAGGGAUUAGAUACC